This 446-nucleotide ribosomal RNA is filed under the name uncultured bacterium. RNAcentral describes it as "SSU rRNA". It matches the Rfam family "Bacterial small subunit ribosomal RNA", at positions 26 to 518 of the family's 1533-position model. The record is from RNAcentral.
AGAACGAACGCUGGCGGCAGGCCUAAUACAUGCAAGUCGAACGCACUCUUCGGAGUGAGUGGCAGACGGGUGAGUAACGCGUGGGAACCUUCCCAAUGGUACGGAAUAACUCCGGGAAACCGGUGCUAAUACCGUAUAAGCCCCUCGGGGGAAAGAUUUAUCGCCAUUGGAUGGGCCCGCGUCGGAUUAGCUAGUUGGUAAGGUAAUGGCUUACCAAGGCUACGAUCCGUAGCUGGUCUGAGAGGAUGAUCAGCCACACUGGGACUGAGACACGGCCCAGACUCCUACGGGAGGCAGCAGUAGGGAAUCUUGGACAAUGGGCGAAAGCCUGAUCCAGCCAUGCCGCGUGAGUGAAGAAGGCCUUAGGGUUGUAAAGCUCUUUUGGCGGGGACGAUAAUGACGGUACCCGCAGAAAUAAGCCCGGCUAACUUCGUGCCAGCAGCCGC